CGAACGCUGGCGGCAGGCUUAACACAUGCAAGUCGAGGGGCAACACGGGUAGCAAUACCUGGUGGCGACCGGCGCAAGGGUGCGUAACGCGUGAGCAACAUGCCCUAUACAGGGGGAUAAUCCAGGGAAACUUGGUCUAAUAUCCCAUAGUAUUUAGAGGUGGCAUCACCACUAAAUUAAAGCUUCGGUGGUAUAGGAUUGGCUCGCGUGACAUUAGCUGGAUGGUGGGGUAACGGCUCACCAUGGCGAUGAUGUCUAGGGGUUCUGAGAGGAAGGCCCCCCACACUGGGACUGAGACACGGCCCAGACUCCUACGGGAGGCAGCAGUGAGGAAUAUUGGACAAUGGAUGGAAAUCUGAUCCAGCCAUGCCGCGUGCAGGAAGACAGCCCUAUGGGUUGUAAACUGCUUUUAUAUGGGAGCAAUAAGGUCUACGUGUAGACUGAUGAGAGUACCAUAUGAAUAAGCAUCGGCUAACUCCGUG
This 482-nucleotide ribosomal RNA is filed under the name uncultured bacterium. Its description in RNAcentral is "bacterial SSU rRNA". It matches the Rfam family "Bacterial small subunit ribosomal RNA", at positions 30 to 507 of the family's 1533-position model. The record is from RNAcentral.